GACGAACGCUGGCGGCGUGCUUAACACAUGCAAGUCGAACGGUAAGGCCCUUCGGGGUACGCGAGUGGCGAACGGGUGAGUAACACGUGGGUGAUCUGCCCUGCACUUCGGGAUAAGCCUGGGAAACUGGGUCUAAUACCGGAUAGGACCACUGCCUGCAUGGGUGGUGGUGGAAAGCUUUUGCGGUGUGGGAUGGGCCCGCGGCCUAUCAGCUUGUUGGUGGGGUGAUGGCCUACCAAGGCGACGACGGGUAGCCGGCCUGAGAGGGUGACCGGCCACAAUGGGACUGAGAUACGGCCCAAACUCCUACGGGAGGCAGCAGUGGGGAAUAUUGCACAAUGGGCGCAAGCCUGAUGCAGCGACGCCGCGUGAGGGAUGACGGCCUUCGGGUUGUAAACCUCUUUCAGCACCGACGAAGCGCAAGUGACGGUAGGUGCAGAAGAAGGACCGGCCAACUACGUGCCAGCAGCCGCGGUAA
Molecule: ribosomal RNA, 478 nt
Filed under: uncultured bacterium
Lineage: Bacteria
Description: partial 16S ribosomal RNA
Rfam family: Bacterial small subunit ribosomal RNA
Source: RNAcentral